CCUACGCGGGGCUGCAGUCGAGAAUCAUUCACAAUGGGGGAAACCCUGAUGGUGCGACGCCGCGUGGGGGAAUGACGGUCUUCGGAUUGUAAACUCCUGUCAUGUGGGAGCAAAUUAAAAAGAUAGUAUCACAAGAGGAAGAGACGGCUAACUCUGUGCCAGCAGCCGCGGUAAUACAGAGGUCUCAAGCGUUGUUCGGAAUCACUGGGGGUAAAGCGUGCGUAGGCGGGUUCGUAAGUGGUGUGUGAAAGGCGCGGGCUCAACCCGCGGACGGCACAUGAUACUGCGAGACUAGAGUAAUGGAGGGGGAACCGGAAUUCUCGGUGUAGCAGUGAAAUGCGUAGAUAUCGAGAGGAACACUCGUGGCGAAGGCGGGUUCCUGGACAUUAACUGACGCUGAGGCACGAAGGCCAGGGGAGCGAAAGGGAUUAGAUACCCCAGUAGUC
This 446-nucleotide ribosomal RNA is filed under the name uncultured bacterium. RNAcentral's name for it is "partial 16S ribosomal RNA". It matches the Rfam family "Bacterial small subunit ribosomal RNA", at positions 338 to 795 of the family's 1533-position model. The record is from RNAcentral.